UACGUAGGCAGCGAGCGUUGUUCGGAGUUACUGGGCGUAAAGGGUGUGUAGGCGGCCUAUUAAGUUUGGUGUGAAAUCUCCCGGCUCAACCGGGAGGGUGCGCCGAAAACUGGGAGGCUAGAGUGCGGGAUGGGAGAGUGGAAUUCCUGGUGUAGCGGUGAAAUGGCGUAGAUAUCAGGAGGAACACCGAUGGCGAAGGCAGGUCUCUGGGCCGGAUA
RNAcentral lists this ribosomal RNA (218 nucleotides) under uncultured bacterium. Its description in RNAcentral is "partial 16S ribosomal RNA". It matches the Rfam family "Bacterial small subunit ribosomal RNA", at positions 524 to 739 of the family's 1533-position model. The record is from RNAcentral.